UGGAUCCAGACUUUGAUCAUGGCUCAGGACGAACGCUGGCGGCGUGCUUAACACAUGCAAGUCGAACGAGAAUCACUAGAAGGAGUUUUCGGACAACGGAAGGUGAGGACAGUGGCGGGCGGGUGAGUAACGCGUGAGGAACCUGCCUUUCAGAGGGGGACAACAGUUGGAAACGACUGCUAAUACCGCAUGACACAUAGAGAUCGCAUGGUUUUUAUGUCAAAGAUUUAUCGCUGAAAGAUGGCCUCGCGUCUGAUUAGCUAGUUGGUGAGGUAACGGCCCACCAAGGCGACGAUCAGUAGCCGGACUGAGAGGUUGACCGGCCACAUUGGGACUGAGAUACGGCCCAGACUCCUACGGGAGGCAGCAGUGGGGAAUAUUGGGCAAUGGGCGCAAGCCUGACCCAGCAACGCCGCGUGAAGGAAGAGGGCUUUCGGGUUGUAAACUUCUUUUGUCGGGGACGAGUAGAAGACGGUACCUGGCGAAUAAGCCACGGCUAACUACGUGCCAGCAGCCGCGGUAAUACGUAGGUGGCAAGCGUUGUCCGGAUUUACUGGGUGUAAAGGGCGUGUAGCCGGGAAGGCAAGUCAGAUGUGAAAUCCACGGGCUUAACUCGUGAACUGCAUUUGAAACUACUUUUCUUGAGUAUCGGAGAGGCAAUCGGAAUUCCUAGUGUAGCGGUGAAAUGCGUAGAUAUUAGGAGGAACACCAGUGGCGAAGGCGGAUUGCUGGACGACAACUGGCGGUGAGGCGCGAAAGCGUGGGGAGCAAACAGGAUUAGAUACCCUGGUAGUCCACGCUGUAAACGAUGAAUACUAGGUGUGCGGGGACUGACCCCCUGCGUGCCGCAGUUAACACAAUAAGUAUUCCACCUGGGGAGUACGAUCGCAAGGUUGCAACUCAAAGGAAUUGACGGA
Molecule: ribosomal RNA, 917 nt
Filed under: uncultured Bacillota bacterium
Lineage: Bacteria; Bacillati; Bacillota
Description: bacterial SSU rRNA
Rfam family: Bacterial small subunit ribosomal RNA
Source: RNAcentral